Molecule: non-coding RNA, 472 nt
Organism: Paramuricea clavata
Lineage: Eukaryota; Metazoa; Cnidaria; Anthozoa; Malacalcyonacea; Plexauridae
Source: the annotation of a GenBank genome assembly
CUAAGUUUAUUGGCUAUUAACCAUUUUCUAAGGUUCUCUAAAUCAGAAUUUACUGCAGUCUCUAGGUCAGUCAUAGAAUUUGCUGAAGCAUAGAAUUUGCUGAAUUUGUCGGAGCAAUCUGCCAACUGCAACUUCAAAAUGGCGUACUUGCAUGGAUAAAAUUUUAAUUUAAACAACCAAGAUAAUUAUUCUUGAUACAGCGUUGAAUUUGAUACAUGCCAGGAUUUAUACGAAACAGCCUAAGAAAAAAAAACGUUUUUCACCAAAACAGUUACUGUAAGUUAUCUUUCAACAUUGUAGCGUUUAAUACCGAUGUUUGUAUUUUAAAUAUUUAUGAGUUUGGACAUCAAUUUUCCAUUGGAUGUUAAUAGCGGUUCACCUCCAAAUCAUGGCAUAAUUGAUAUUGUACCUGAUGAAGUAUACUCUUACAGCUCAUGAAGAAAUACUCUGAAAACUGUGACAAAUAAACUAG